Molecule: ribosomal RNA, 253 nt
Filed under: uncultured bacterium
Lineage: Bacteria
Description: partial 16S ribosomal RNA
Rfam family: Bacterial small subunit ribosomal RNA
Source: RNAcentral
UACGGGGGGAGCAAGCGUUGUCCGGAAUUAUUGGGCGUAAAGAGCUCGUAGGCGGUCUGUCGCGUCUGCUGUGAAAACUCAGGGCUUAACCCUGAGCUUGCAGUGGGUACGGGCAGACUAGAGUGCGGUAGGGGAGACUGGAAUUCCUGGUGUAGCGGUGAAAUGCGCAGAUAUCAGGAGGAACACCGGUGGCGAAGGCGGGUCUCUGGGCCGUAACUGACGCUGAGGAGCGAAAGCAUGGGGAGCGAACAGG